Molecule: long non-coding RNA, 872 nt
Organism: Vespula pensylvanica (western yellowjacket)
Lineage: Eukaryota; Metazoa; Arthropoda; Insecta; Hymenoptera; Vespidae
Exons: 2
Source: RefSeq, a predicted model, not a curated record
AGAGAGAGAGAGAAAGAGAAAGACAGAGAGAGAGAGAGAGAGAGAGAGAGAGAGAGAAGUAGUUGAACGAAAAAGAAACUUUUACGGAGCUUUCUCGCGAGAAUAACUUAGGGACAAAUUAGGCCAGAUUAACUUCGAUUCCGAAUCUUUCUACCUUCUGUUUGUCGUCAGCAUCCCUACCUACUAAUUACCAAUUAUUAUCAAUAUUUUUGAUUAUCUAUAAUUCAAUAGUUUUCUCUCUUCGUUAUACAACGAUCCUCGCUUGGUAUAUACAUCCCUCAUCUUUCCCCUCCCUAUCCUAUCUCAUCCCCUAUUCGCAUGAUCGGACUAAUUUUAUACAUAUAUAUACUUUAUACAUAAUAUAGAUACAUACGUAGACCAUGAAAUUACGCAGUUAUAUUGAGAGAGAAAGAAAAAAUGAUAGAAGAGAGAAAGAGAGAAGAUAUUCGAUUACGAUUAAUCGUUAUUAUUCGUUAAAUGGGAAUAUUUAUUAUCAAUUCUUCUCGCGUAAGCCGGCCGGUCGUAUACAUAUGUUAUUAUAUAUCAUUGUACGUUCUUCUGGCCGAAAGACGAGAGUUUGAUUGAAUAGCGUGAAUUAUAUAAAAGGGUAUGUGUGUUAGAUUGAAAAAGGGAGAAAGAGAGAGAGAGAGAGAGAAAGAGAGAGAGAGAGAGAGAAAAUAUAACAGAGAUAAGAAUAUUGUAAUUGAUAAACGAAAUUCGUGUUAUGGUCUGAGAAAAAGGGUAUCGUAUAAUGUACGUUAUUUAACGCUUUAACAGUCUGAAAAAGAAAUACGAUCUUCUAUUUGAUGUAUUUAUCAAACGUAAAUACAGUGACGUCUAUAAUAUAUUGCAAUAAAAACCAAAUACAAUAA